GGCCGGGAGCGCGCAGGUGGCGGGCGGGCCGGCUGUGCGCGCCGCCGCGCGCCGGGUUCCGCCGGGGGCAGCGCGUCGCCGGCGGGCGGGGAGCGAGCGGCCGCCGGGUCCGGGCUGCCGCCACCGCCGCCUUCUCACACGUGAAGGGCCGCAGCCGUCCCGCCGAGAAGCCCCGCUGUCCCGCGGUGCGGGGGCUUCCCCUCCGCCUGCCCUCCGGGCGCCGAGCCGCACCGCUCGCCCUCCCCCGCCGCUCUUGGGAGGCGCCGCGGCGCUGCCCCCGUGAGCGCUCCCCACGGGGUGGGCGUGGGGAAGGGUGGGUGCUGCGGCGGCCUCCCGUCCGCGGGCGUCCCAGCCCCGCCGGCGGUGGAUGCGCCCGGGAGGAGCCGCCGAGCCCGCCCAGCCCUUCCAGCCCCCCGCGGGGGGGACGCGGGGACCGCCGCGAUGACUUGACGCCGGGCCGGGCCGUGCCGUGCCAUGGAGGGGAUGACACGCUUCGCGGUGGCCGCGGCGCGGUGGCGGCCGGCGCUGCCCGCCCUGCUGCCGCUGCUGCUGGCCGUGCCGGCGCUGCGGGGCUCUCCCGCCGCAGAUGAGAGAUCCUUGGAACAGCAGAAUUUUUCCUUUUUCUCAACGGUGCAUGAAAGCAUAUCAGGCAGCAGGACACAAACGGCCUUAGCAAGGAGUACUUUGGAGUCCCAAGAAAGUAAUUUGCUUCAAACAGUUUUAUCAUCAGUUACCACUUCCUUUGAUGGGACUUUACUUAGCCAAGAAGAAACAGCCAUGAUUUCAGAAGGGAGAAGUACGCCGUUGGUAGAUGUCUCUGUAAGGAGCAAUGAGGCAUUCCUAAGUGAUGAUGAAUUUAUUAGCUCCUUUUCAAAGGCACAGUGGACUCCUCCCGUGAAGUCUUUUGCAGUUUUAACAGAUCAUCACUCAGUUAAUACAGUAGAGCCAUCAAGAGAAAUGUUAGAAACUGUGUUGCUAACACCUUCAUUAUCUGUCCUUUCUUCACUCUAUGAUAUCUCAGAAACAGCACAGCAGAAGACUCUGUUGAGUGCUGUCCCUGAACGAAGCUACACUCUUAUGGAGCUAAAGCCUUUUGUACCAGAUCCUGAAAUACUAACAGCAAGCAGAGACUUGCUGUUGUACCCUCCAAAUACAGCUGUUCCUUUCGCUUCCGUUCCUUCUGACACGGGAAUUGUGGCACAGGAAAACAUUAAUGCAAGUUUAACAGCUCUGCCUUUUGGGAGUGCUUCAGAAGGAUCGCCUCUCCAUCUCAAGCUGCUGGAUGAAACCAGCCCUGGGGCCCCAGAUGCCACAGCGCAUCCUGCAGACCUUUAUGGUGAUGUUUACACCCAUGUGAGUAGCAGGGCAGCAGAAUCUCUCAGUCAAAGGACUUACCCCACUCCAAGCAUUCCCUGGCUCAUGCCAACUUCAGCAGCCAGUGCUGAGCCUGCUUUUUAUCCUAUUAGUCUUCCACUUGUGUCUUUCCCUCUAGAUUCAGCUGCCAUUUCUGUGAACUCUAAUACAAUUCUUAAUGCCAGCCUGUUUACACAUGAAUUCUCCACUACUGCACCAAAUUUGCCUGCUGGUUCAGAAAUACCAAGUCAAUCAGAGCUUGUCAGUGAGCUCAAGAGUCCAGUGCCUUUCACGAGAUCAUACAGUUACUGUCUGUAUUGUGACUCUGUUUCACUUCUGCCAGAAGCAGGCUUUGCACCAGAACAUGAUGUGGGCUCAGGAGAUUAUGUUGAAACUUUGUCCAUCAAAGCCUCUGAAGUACAAGGCAUAACUGCAUUUACAACUAUAAUUACUGAUGGGUAUGAAUUGGAGGAACCUACACCUGAGAUUUUUGAUACUUCUUUUCCAUCAAGACCAGUUGUUUCACUUUCUUCAAGAUUUGCAGAAAUCCCUGACUCAAGCAUGUUUUUGUUAAGCACUACAGACACUAGAACACCUAUAACAAUAUCUCCCUCCUUCCAUCAGCUCCCUGGGGAAAUGUCACUGAACAUCUCCGUUUCCCAGACCCUCCCUGUUCUUGAAUCAAUUUUGUUGACUCCAAGCACUCAUGUAGACAUUCCUGAUGCCACCACUGCUCUGUUGGACUCUACCAUCACCCCCAGUGAGCCAGUCACAUCGUUUGCAAUCAGUCAGACAACCUUGCUGGAACUGCCAGAGUUAAUGCCAUCAGAAUCCGUGGUUUUGCUUGGCAAGACAUCUACAAGGGACGAACUGUCUUUAAGUAUUUCAGAUUUUCCAUCCAAUCUUUUAUCAACACCAUUUCUUAUUGAAUCUAGCUACUUGUCUUUAUCACUGACCAUGCUAAAUUCUUACUCUGUCAUGCAAAGUGAUUUAUUAACACUGUUACCUCAGACCUUGUUGACUGGGACAUCAGUACUUCCUGAGGAUGUUACCAGCUGGGACUUAGCUACCACUGUCAGCUUUGCCACUGAUGCCGAGGUUUCUCAGUUACAUCUUAGCCAAACAUCAUACUUUCAUUCAAAUACAUCAUCCCUUCCAGAUGCACAGGUUCCUGAAAUAAUGCCAUCAUCAGAUUUUCCCUCAGAGUCAUCUGUGUUUCUGGAAGCAUCCUCGGUACUGCCAGUGGGCUCUGAAGUUGUGUUUACCUCAGCUGCCACAGGAGCUACCUCUCAGUUGGAGCCUUCACUCUCCACCUCUCACUCUGUGGUUCCUACCCUGGUGCUGCCCACUUCCGACACCCAGUCUAUUACCAGCAGCAUCUUGCUCAGUGAAACAAAUCUGAUCUCUUCGUUUACUACCUUUCCAGCAACUCCUGUCUUAAACAUAACUUCAUCUCUACUUUCAACUGCUCUGGGUUCUGAUGAGGAUAUUGGUGCUACAGUUAACCCCACGCUGCUUUUAACAUCUGGCAGCAGGGGCAGCGUCCCCACAGCCCUUGCUCCCACAGACCCUGACAGCCUUGCAUCAGAUGCCAGCACCAUCAGCAUAAUGCCCUUUCCUACAGCAUCUCUGUCUGUGACCUCAUCGUUUGCUCCCACACAAUUUCCUGAGACUGCCAGCCCUCCCCCUGGACAUGAAGUUCCAUCAGGAAGCAGUGUGACUGCUGGUGCUGAUGCAUCAGCUCCUUCCACCCCUGCCACCAGCGCUACAGGCAGCCCAGGGACAUUCUCCUCCACCCCUCUGAGGACCACUACUCAGUCUGAAGUGGUGGCUGUGACCUCUGCUGUGACCACCACCAGGCAGCCGUACGUCUGCGACAUCACUGUUCCUGAUGCCUACUUAGUCACUGCGGUGCUGGCCCGAAGAGCUGUUCUACGAAAUGUCAGUGAAUCCAUCAGAGAAGUGCUCAGAGUUCAGUUCAGGAGAUCAGUAGAGCUAGAGGUUUAUAAAAUUUCCCCCAAAUUUGCUUUCUUGGUGACAUCUGGUCCCUUUGUUUACACGGCAAUAGCUGUCAUAAAUGUGCUUGUGAACAGCAGUCUUCUUCGUGGGGAGGCCCCCAUCAUCCUCUCACUGCAUCCUUCUUUCACUGUGCCAGACAACAGAUUCCAGGUUCAGACAGUGCUUCAGUUUGUACCUCGAAACGUGGAUAUUGGAUUCUGCACCUUUAGCCAGCGCAUUGAGAGAGGGCUGACAAUGGCAUUCCUGGAGGUGAACAAACACCAGGAGCUCUACAAUUUCACUGUGCAGAUACUGAAUAUAACUCUAAGCAGGCCUGGGGUGGCGUUUCGACAGGGCCCUGUGAGCAUUGUUUUUGCCAUCCGAGAUAGGUACGGCUUUCUAAAUGGGUCCGAAGUCAGCGAGCAGCUCAGGAACUUGUCCGUGGUGGAAUUCAGCUUCUAUCUGGGCUUUCCUGUGCAGCAGAUUGCUGAACCCUUUCAUUAUCCCAAGCUUAAUGUGUCCCAGCUGAUGAAAUCUUCCUGGGUGAGAACAGUUCUCCUGGGUGUGGUGGACCAGCGAAUCCAGGAGGAAGUGUUCCGGGCUGAGAUGGAGCGGAAGCUCGCUCACCUCUUCAACGAGGCUUUGCUCAGAGGCAGGAUCUGGAGACGGGCCAGUUUUGCAGGCAGCAACAUCGUGCAGAUUGUGAACGUGUCGCGCUUAGUUGGUGUUGAUAACCCCGUGGAGCUGAUCUAUUUCGUGGAGGACCAAGACGGGGAGAGACUGAGUGCUCUGAAGUGCUCAGACCUGAUGAACAGAGUCGACAUCCAGCGGGCUGCGAUCAUCCUUGGCUACCGCAUCGAGGGCAGCGUUGCGCAGCCUGUGGAGAAGCUGAAGGAGCCCACUUCAGAGACUCAGAACAGCAACCUGUGGAUUAUCGUUGGGGUGGCAGUCCCGGUGGCCGUGGUGCUCCUGAUUGUUAUUAUUUUAUACUGGAAACUCUGCAGAACAGACAAGCUGGAGUUCCAGCCAGACACAGUGAGCAACAUUCAGCAGCGACAGAAGCUACAAGCCCCCAGUGUGAAAGGCUUUGAUUUUGCUAAGCAGCAUCUGGGCCAGCACAAUAAAGAUGAUGUCCUGAUUAUCCAUGAGCCAGCUCCUUUACCAGGACCUAUUAAGGACACAACCCCAUCUGAGAACGGAGAUGUGCCCAGCCCCAAAUCCAAGACUUCCACAAAGCCUUCAAAGACUGUUCGACACAGAGGGAGAAUUUCGCCAUCAGAUGCUGAAUCCACAGCAAGUGAACAAUCCAGCGGGAGGGAGACGGGAGAAGAAAGUGCAAGACCAUCAACUGCUGCAAACGAGGGCAAGCCACGCAGAGCUGUGAAGAAGGGAGCAAACAGAGUGGGACCUCCUCAGACCAGCAGUGGAAACGAGCAGCACUCCUCAGCCUCUAUCUUUGAGCAUGUGGAUAGGAUGUCCCGCUCCUCAGAUGCCAGCAGGCGGGUCCCAAGCAAGAUCCAGCUGAUUGCCAUGCAGCCCAUGGCAGCGCCUCCGCUUCAGAACUCUGUGCUCUCCGAUCGGGUAGCAGAGACCAACAAAAUUAAUAAAGAGAUACAAACAGCCCUGAGGCACAAAUCCGAGAUCGAGCAUCACCGCAAUAAGAUCCGCCUGCGCGCCAAGCGUAAAGGGCACUAUGAGUUCCCAGUGGUGGAUGACGUGGUGGUGGUUGACUCCAAAGAACAGCACAGAAUAUAUCGCAAGGCACAGAUGCAGAUUGACAAGAUCUUGGACCCUGGAGGCAGUGUGCCUACCGUCUUCAUAGAGCCCAGGAAGAGUUCUCGCGCAAAACGUUCUCCCAAGCAGCGCCGUCGCCAUCAGAUAAAUGGGAGUCCAAUUGAUGCUGAAAAGGACAGGUUAAUCACAACUGACAGUGAUGGGACAUACAAAAGGCCUCCAGGAGUCAAUAAUUCUGCAUAUAUUGUAUUCCGACCCAGACCUGCCUCCCGAGCCCCAGACGUCAUCCUCGGCGGAUCUGGGGAAGUUCCCGGGCCUGCCCCCGCACCCGGUGUCGCAGUACGUGCCCCCGCAGCCGUCCAUCGAGGAGGCCCGGCAGACCAUGCACUCGCUGCUGGACGACGCCUUCGCGCUGGUGGCUCCCAGCAGCCAGGCCGCCGGCUCCGCGGCCGUGCCCCCGCCCGGCGUGUCGGCAGCGCAGCCGAGAUACAUGGAAUUUGGAAUGACUCCGCCAGCAGCACCAGGUCUCCUACCGAGGCAGAACUUUGGGCCAGGUUUUCUUCAGCCUGCAGAGUUAAUGCAUGGAGAGCAGCCGCCCCCUGAGGUUCAGUAUUCCUCCAGGGGGAUGUACUCAGAGGAAAUGCCAUCAGUGGCACGGCCACGACCCGUUGGGAGCACUGCAGGUUCUCAGAUACAGCACCUCACUCAGGUGGGAAUUGCUAGCAGGAUCGGAGGUCAACCAGUGGAGAUCCCCUCAGGCAGAGCAGGGCAUGGCCAGCCGGGGGGGCCAGGGUGGCCCCAGUAUCGUGGAGAGGAUGAAUGUGCUAGGCGAGAUGCAACGCAUAUGCAUGGACACCAAGAAUAUUCCUCCUCACCAGUAUUCCAGAUGCCGAGGACUUCAGCCAGGCAGCCCUCAGCACCUCCUGCUCAGCUUCCACACAACAGCCUUCAGGGCCAGGGCCUUUGCUACACCACCAGUUCCACUGAGGACCUCCAGCCAGGUCACUCGUCAGCCUCCCUUAUCAAAGCAAUCAGAGAAGAACUUCUGCGACUUUCUCAGAAACAGACAACAGUGCAGAACUUCCAUAGUUGAUUUAGCAUUCCAUUGCAAAUCUGCCAGGUAUCUGCUUCCUAUGGAAGCAAAGACUUAGAGGAAAUCAGCGAUGUUGUUCUCACAAAGGAAGGAACUUCCACAGCUCUGUUGACAGCACUCUGGAAUAAUCAAAAAAGGCAACAAAAUGAGAAGAGUAAGGAGAGAUGGGGGACAAACAGGGAAAAUCAUCGGUGUCAUCACAAGUAAUAUUAAUUAAUCUGCUAAUUAUGGUGCUCCUCUUCUCUCCUUACCCUCAUUCAGGCUAACACAUAAAUAAAACUGUAGGUCAAGAACUCAGUACUCCAGCAACAACAACAACAAAAUGACAGUAACUAUGUCCAAGAAUGAUAGACUCCUUUUUAUAAGGAAGUAGGUGAAGUUUUUAAUGAACUGAGAUGACAUUUUGCAAGAGAUUACAAGUAUUCUUAUCUCUCCAGUGCUUAUGGGGAACUGGUUUGUGUUGCUGUUCUGCAGGAUUGCAAACUGUAUCUAUCAACUUAAGGGUCUUGAAGGUCCGAUCUCACAUAGGAAUCACUUAGGUUGUCAGGAACAAUGGGACUACUUAGAAAAAAAAUCUUUAUGAGUUACUUGUAUUAAACUGGAACAAUAAUUGUUACAGCUCUGUGGUUCCGAAUGGAGCUACCCUCUGCACUCUUCCUUGUUUUCCUUCUGGUGCUGAAGCUUCAAGUGUUCCUUCAUCUUCAAUGUUUGCAAAGUGAAACAUUGGCCUUGUAUAAUUAAGAAAAUAUUUGUAGACUCAUUCAGGCUGGAAAAAGAAAGCAAAGCAUCCAGACAGAAAGGGCUUGGUAUCUAAUUUGUUUAAAAAUUACUGAAAACUGGAAGGGGAAUACUCAGCUACAGUUGAAUUGGGGAAAUGUGUGUGUAUAUCUUUAAAAAACUAUAUUUACAUACUAAAUGCUCUUGCAAGACCAGCGAUAAACUAUUGCCAAUCUGUAGUUUGCUUUGUGGACAGAAACCAAUCCAGCCUGACUGGUACAGGGUCACCAGCAUUAUGUUAUAAAUUGAUGUCCUAAAUCAUUGCUUAUGUUUGAAUCUGAAUAAUUUUAGUGGAAGUCAGUGACAGUUUAGAGCAUUAACAUAGGCUUAGAUUUGCAGUUUUGAGACAAUUUCUAUAUUUAUACUUGUUUCCACUGUCCCUUUGGACAAAGGGUAAGCAUUAUCCCCAUGGUAAGAAUGGUACGUGCCAUGGAACUGUUUGUCACUGUUUUUUUCAGAGUUUUUAUUUAAAAUUAGCUACGAAUUUACUAAUAUUGGCCAUUGCAUAACUGUAACUGACAUAAUACACACGGACAUUUUGCUUAAGUCACGCCUGGUUGAAGUGUUUUCAUUUUCAGGUCAGAGUGAACUAAAGCUACUAAACUGGCAUGGAGAUGGAGGGCAGGCUCAGUGUUGGUGAGGAGGCUUGGGAGCCCAACCUUAGGGCAAGGGACAGCAGGAGAAUUAGGUGCUGCAGUGUAGGUGUUUCAAACAGGAGCAGGUGGCAGUGGUCAGGGGUCUGAGGAGCAGAGAGCACUGGGCAGCCAGGCAGGGGCUGCAUUUGCCUCAUUUGCUGGGGUGGAAAUGGCAGUGGUGAAGUACAGGUACCAUAACACCGGUGUGGUGUGGUGGUCCUUGGCUGCCACAUCUGCUCCUGGCUCCAGUGCACGGUUCAGUAAGGGCAACAGGACUGAGUCAGACUGAAAUGAAAAUAGCUGGGAGGACAUGGUGGAAGAAGUCCCCUCUGUACCUUAUUCAUGAAGUGUGUCCAUCAUACUCGCGGCUGAAACCACAACCUCUGUUGCUCACUGAUGUGGAAAAAAAGGUGGUAUGUGUCCCUCUUUACCAGAAAGGACAUUUAUUUUGCUGUUUACCUAUGAUCAUCAAAAUGCUGUAUGAAACUGUUUUGAGGGACUUAGAGUAAUGAAGCAGUGUAAAUUAAUUUCCAGUUCCCUGGCCUAUGUGUAAAGCCCUCAUGGGCACCAGUUGAGGUUUGAAAGGAAUCAGAACACCAGCACGGUUGUAACAGCAGUACCAACAGGUCACUAUGAUGUGAAUUUUUUAAGUUUUUUGUGUGAUAAUUCUAGGAUAAAAAUAAACAUUUGUUUUCUGCCAACUUUGUAAACAUGAAUGUUGCCAAUACUUCUGCAAAAUGCCAGGUUUUGAAGAAUGAAGAGUGUAUCAGGCAGUGUUCAUUUGGUCGUUUUGACAGCACUGAAGACUGACUGUUGCUAAGUGUUCCCAUUAAAACCAUCUCUGUCAGACCCCACGUCCUUCUCCAGUUUAAUUCUGUAGUGAACUCAGAGACCAAUGCUUAUAUCAUUACCACAUUACUGUGACUUCAUUUCAAGAAAAUGUGGUCUUCUAGGAGGUAAAUUAAUUUUGUCUGGUUCCAGCUAUUUAAGAACAAUAUGUUCUCUGUGAAAUGAGAGCUUUGAAAUUUAGAGGUACUUAAGCCACUUCUCACUCAUUUUUUUGCUAGUUUUGCUAGAUGGUGAUGAUGCUAUUGUGAAAUUCCAUCUUUUUAUAUUUGGAUGUGUGUCAUUUCUCUUUUCAGUCCAUAAUCUUAUGAUGAACACAGGACAAAUAUGUAUUUGUAAAUAAGAGGCUUUCUGAUGAAGAAAACUCUCUUUAAAACUUUCAACAGUAAAAUAUAAGAAGUCAGAAA
This is an RNA transcript of Passer domesticus (house sparrow), 8843 nucleotides long. It is a transcript of the gene named KIAA1549 ortholog, with no coding region annotated. NCBI's taxonomy places the organism in Eukaryota, Metazoa, Chordata, Aves, Passeriformes, Passeridae. The record is from RefSeq and is a predicted model, not a curated record. The transcript is spliced from 21 exons.